This 999-nucleotide ribosomal RNA is filed under the name Coptostethus skulei. Its description in RNAcentral is "SSU rRNA". It matches the Rfam family "Eukaryotic small subunit ribosomal RNA", at positions 32 to 964 of the family's 1831-position model. Lineage: Eukaryota; Metazoa; Arthropoda; Insecta; Coleoptera; Elateridae. The record is from RNAcentral.
UUGUCUCAAAGAUUAAGCCAUGCAUGUCUCAGUACAAGCCGAAUUAAGGUGAAACCGCGAAAGGCUCAUUAAAUCAGUUAUGGUUCCUUAGAUCGUACCCAAAUUUACUUGGAUAACUGUGGUAAUUCUAGAGCUAAUACAUGCAAACAGAGCUCCGACCGGAGACGGAAGGAGCGCUUUUAUUAGAUCAAAACCAAUCGGCGUCGGGCGCAAGCCCGUCGUCGUUCAUUCUGGCGAAUCUGAAUAACUUUCUGCUGAUCGCACGGUCUAGCACCGGCGACGCAUCUUUCAAAUGUCUGCCUUAUCAACUGUCGAUGGUAGGUUCCGUGCCUACCAUGGUCGUAACGGGUAACGGGGAAUCAGGGUUCGAUUCCGGAGAGGGAGCCUGAGAAACGGCUACCACAUCCAAGGAAGGCAGCAGGCGCGCAAAUUACCCACUCCCGGCACGGGGAGGUAGUGACGAAAAAUAACGAUACGGGACUCAUCCGAGGCCCCGUAAUCGGAAUGAGUACACUCUAAACCCUAUAACGAGGAUCAAUUGGAGGGCAAGUCUGGUGCCAGCAGCCGCGGUAAUUCCAGCUCCAAUAGCGUAUAUUAAAGUUGUUGCGGUUAAAAAGCUCGUAGUCGAAUCUGUGUCUCGCGCCGCCGGUUCAUCGCUCGCGGUGUUUAACUGGCGUGUCUCGCGAGACGUCCUGCCGGUGGGCUUAGCCCGCGAGGGCGGCCCAACUCUUCGAAUCCCGCCGCGGUGCUCUUCAUUGAGUGUCGAGGCGGGCCGGCACGUUUACUUUGAACAAAUUAGAGUGCUUAAAGCAGGCUAAAACUUCGCCUGAAUACCGUGUGCAUGGAAUAAUGGAAUAGGACCUCGGUUCUAUUUUGUUGGUUUUCGGAACCCCGAGGUAAUGAUUAAUAGGAACGGAUGGGGGCAUUCGUAUUGCGACGUUAGAGGUGAAAUUCUUGGAUCGUCGCAAGACGGACGGAAGCGAAAGCAUUUGCCAAAAA